AUGUUGAACUUGUACUGCGAAGGAUCCGGUCAAGCUAUCAACAAGGAGAAAUCCUCUAUCUUCUAUGGAUGGAACUGUAUGGAUAGCAUCGGGAACAGAGUUAAGAACCGGUUGGGAAUUCACAAUGAGACCUUUCAUGACUCAUAUCUUGCGAUGCCUACGGAGGUGGGCACUUCCCCUACAAGCACUUUCAAGUUCUGAACUGACAUAGCAUGGCAAAAUAUCCAUGGCUGGUCUGAUCAGCCUCUUUCUAGGGUUGGAAAUGAAACCUUGCCGAAAUCCAUCACUCAAGCCAUUCCAACCUUUGUUCGAGAUGCUUUUGUCUUCCUGUUGCUACUUGUGAAAAGUUUAGACAGAUUGUGGCUAAUAGGUAGUGGGGUAGGGAGGAUGGAAGAAUGA
This 399-nucleotide ribosomal RNA is filed under the name Triticum aestivum (bread wheat). RNAcentral's name for it is "partial small subunit ribosomal RNA". Lineage: Eukaryota; Viridiplantae; Streptophyta; Magnoliopsida; Poales; Poaceae. The record is from RNAcentral.